AGAGCGAACGCUGGCGGCAGGCCUAACACAUGCAAGUCGAGCGCCCGUAGCAAUACGGGAGCGGCAGACGGGAUAGUAACACGUGGGAACGCGCCCUUCGGUUCGGAAUAACUCAGGGAAACUUGAGCUAAUACCGGAUACGCCCUUACGGGGAAAGAUUUAUUGCCGAAGGAACGGCCCGCGUCCGAUUAGCUAGUUGGUGGGGUAAUGGCUCACCAAGGCGACGAUCGGUAGCUGGUCUGAGAGGAUGACCAGCAUCACUGGGACUGAGACACGGCCCAGACUCCUACGGGAGGCAGCAGUGGGGAAUAUUGGACAAUGGGCGCAAGCCUGAUCCAGCCAUGCCGCGUGGAUGAUGAAGGCCUUAGGGUUGUAAAGUCCUUUUAACGGGGAAGAUAAUGACGGUACCCGUAGAAUAAGCCCCGGCUAACUUCGUGCCAGCAGCCGC
RNAcentral lists this ribosomal RNA (448 nucleotides) under uncultured bacterium. Its description in RNAcentral is "SSU rRNA". It matches the Rfam family "Bacterial small subunit ribosomal RNA", at positions 26 to 518 of the family's 1533-position model. The record is from RNAcentral.